AUGACAGACAUGAGAAAGCUGAGUUGGCUUCGCGCUUCUUGCGAAUGACAGGCGUUAUGGUCCUCGAAGGAAACCGUAGAGGUGGGAAACUUGAACACGGACAUAAGCGGAGGGAGUAGAAAGUGCAGGGAGCCCGGUAGCCGAACCCCAGUAUUCCAGGACCCAGACAAUCACAAGCUGAACAUAAGACAAGAGGAGCCUCAGGUAGUGAAGCUUUAAGAACAGGCUGCAGAGGAUCUUAUGUUUCCUUUAAACUUAUGAAGAAGCCAGUACCAGCAGAAUGGAAAUGAUGUGUAGCUGGAUUUUAAACAAAAUAAUUUUUUUAAAGCACAAGUUAGUAGGUUUGCCUGAUACAGAACCUGCUCUUCCUCCUCCAUGGUCCCUAGAGUCGCCUUUUCAGAACUGGACUGUUUACUCCAAAGCAUCUCUUGCUGCCUCAAUGGUUUUCUUUGCCAUCUUCAUCAUUUUACACCUUUGUAAAAGACCUACUGUCCCUACAAAGACUAUGGCCAGAAGAGCAUCAUCCCCUUUGAUGAAGGGUCCGGUUCUAUUUGAGCAACCCCUUCUAUUCGCAUGGAGCUAUUCUUUUGCUCUGCUGCUCAUACUUUGCCUGUUCGUAUCGAUUCCAUGGGAAUGGGUCCGUUUGUAUCAAAUUGAAGUGGCCAAGAAAGCAUCGGUCCUCUCAGAGGGUUAUUCCAGGAGUUGUUACCAAGCAGACCUGUCAUUCUGGGAAACGCUGAAGGUAUGGUUAUCCUGGAAUUUUUCCUGGGAAAGAGACUCAUGUGAGAGCUACUAUAAAGCACUAAUGGUGGAUCCUUUCUGGGAAGUAACCCCACUUAUGGCACACUUGAAUUCCUUAACUGUAUGACUCCAAACCACAAUUGCAGGGAUUGCUUGGAUAUAUCACGCUUUCUAUGAAAAAAAAAAAGAAAAAAGUUCUUCCUUAGUUGCCGUGUAGUCUUUUUCACUGCCAUUGUACAUUAUGUACCAUCUUAUUGUUAAGAUUCUGUCCUCCUCUGUGUACUGUGUUUCUGAGUUAUCAAUAGGCAAUUUCAGGUACAAUCUUAUUUUAAAUGUCAGAUGUUAAUCCAGUAAAUUGUAGAACCACAUACUGUACUUGGCUACUCUCCCAGAAUGUCCAGUAGAUUCCCAAAUCUGUCCUUAGAAAGUAGACCAACCUCCCAUGUCACAGCCACUUCCUUCCUUUAGCACGAACAGGCACUAAGCAGUAGGGGGCAUGAUGAGGCAAUUAACAGUUCCGUACCCCUGCACCCACUACCUACCGCAUCUCCUACAUGAAAUGUUGGCAAGUGUGACAUAUCAUAAUGAUUUAAUUAAUCAAAAUCUUUUGUAUGGAAAAAUUGUGAAUAGAAGAAUGUUUGAGCCAUAUGUUUGUGUAAUCGUAUUUUAUUAUUUUCCUUUGUUCAACCACAAAUGGAAAUACACUAUAGUUUUUAAAUAGUAUUGUGCAUCUACUACAGAUGUACAGUAGGUAGACUUAGUGUAUA
Molecule: RNA transcript, 1508 nt
Organism: Pseudophryne corroboree (corroboree frog)
Lineage: Eukaryota; Metazoa; Chordata; Amphibia; Anura; Myobatrachidae
Exons: 5
Source: RefSeq, a predicted model, not a curated record